This 529-nucleotide ribosomal RNA is filed under the name uncultured Entrophosporaceae. RNAcentral describes it as "SSU rRNA". It matches the Rfam family "Eukaryotic small subunit ribosomal RNA", at positions 569 to 1092 of the family's 1831-position model. The record is from RNAcentral. Lineage: Eukaryota; Fungi; Glomeromycota; Glomeromycetes; Entrophosporales; Entrophosporaceae.
AGCAGCCGCGGUAAUUCCAGCUCCAAUAGCGUAUAUUAAAGUUGUUGCAGUUAAAAAGCUCGUAGUUGAAUUUCGGGAUUGACGUGAUGGUCGUAUCUUAAGGGGUAUGAACUGUCGCUGUUGAUUUCUCACCUUCUGGAGAAACUUGAUGUCCUUAAUUGGGUGUCUUGCGGAUCCAGGACCUUUACCUUGAAAAAAUUAGAGUGUUUAAAGCAGGCAUUUUUGCUCGAAUACAUUAGCAUGGAAUAAUAGAAUAGGACGGCAUGGUUCUAUUUUGUUGGUUUCUAGGAUCACCGUAAUGAUUAAUAGGGAUAGUUGGGGGCAUUAGUAUUCAAUUGUCAGAGGUGAAAUUCUUGGAUUUAUUGAAGACUAACUACUGCGAAAGCAUUUGCCAAGGAUGUUUUCAUUAAUCAAGAACGAAAGUUAGGGGAUCGAAGACGAUCAGAUACCGUCGUAGUCUUAACCAUAAACUAUGCCGACUAGGAAUCAGACGAUGUUAAUUUUUUAAUGACUCGUUUGGCACCUUACG